This 337-nucleotide unclassified non-coding RNA is filed under the name soil metagenome. Its description in RNAcentral is "partial contains 5.8S ribosomal RNA, internal transcribed spacer 2, and large subunit ribosomal RNA". The stretch from base 1 to 120 matches the Rfam family "5.8S ribosomal RNA", at positions 35 to 154 of the family's 154-position model. The record is from RNAcentral.
GAUGAAGAACGCAGCGAAAUGCGAUAAGUAGUGUGAAUUGCAGAAUUCAGUGAAUCAUCGAAUCUUUGAACGCACAUUGCGCCCCUUGGUAUUCCAUGGGGCAUGCCUGUUCGAGCGUCCUUUGUACCUUCAAGCUCUGCUUGGUGUUGGGUGUUUGUCUCGCCUCUGCGUGUAGACUCGCCUCAAAACAAUUGGCAGCCGGCGUAUUGAUUUCGGAGCGCAGUACAUCUCGCGCUUUGCACUCAUAACGACGACGUCCAAAAGUACAUUUUUACACUCUUGACCUCGGAUCAGGUAGGGAUACCCGCUGAACUUAAGCAUAUCAAUAAGCGGAGGA